Molecule: ribosomal RNA, 465 nt
Filed under: Vreelandella stevensii
Lineage: Bacteria; Pseudomonadati; Pseudomonadota; Gammaproteobacteria; Oceanospirillales; Halomonadaceae
Description: partial 16S ribosomal RNA
Rfam family: Bacterial small subunit ribosomal RNA
Source: RNAcentral
CCUACGGGGUGCUGCAGUGGGGAAUAUUGGACAAUGGGCGAAAGCCUGAUCCAGCCAUGCCGCGUGUGUGAAGAAGGCCUUCGGGUUGUAAAGCACUUUCAGUGGGGAAGAAAGCCUUGGGGCUAAUACCCUCGAGGAAGGACAUCACCCACAGAAGAAGCACCGGCUAACUCCGUGCCAGCAGCCGCGGUAAUACGGAGGGUGCGAGCGUUAAUCGGAAUUACUGGGCGUAAAGCGCGCGUAGGCGGUCUGAUAAGCCGGUUGUGAAAGCCCCGGGCUCAACCUGGGAACGGCAUCCGGAACUGUCAGGCUAGAGUGCAGGAGAGGAAGGUAGAAGUCCCGGUGUAGCGGUGAAAUGCGUAGAGAUCGGGAGGAAUACCAGUGGCGAAGGCGGCCUUCUGGACUGACACUGACGCUGAGGUGCGAAAGCGUGGGUAGCAAACAGGAUUAGAUACCCUAGUAGUC